CAAGGAAUCUUCCGCAAUGGGCGAAAGCCUGACGGAGCAACGCCGCGUGUGGGAUGACGCCUUUCGGGGUGUAAACCACUUUUCUCAGGGAAGAAGCACUGACGGUACCUGAGGAAGAAGGACCGGCUAACUACGUGCCAGCAGCCGCGGUAAUACGUAGGGUCCGAGCGUUGUCCGGAGUUACUGGGCGUAAAGCGCGCGCAGGCGGCGGUGUAAGCAUGGCGUGAAAGCCCCAGGCUCAACCUGGGAGGGUCGUCGUGGACUGCACCGCUUGAGGGCGGUAGGGGCUGGUGGAAUGCCUGGUGUAGUGGUGAAAUGCGUAGAGAUCAGGCGGAACACCCGUGGCGAAGGCGGCCAGCUGGGCCGUCCCUGACGCUGAGGCGCGAAGGCGUGGGGAGCGAACGGGAUUAGAUACCCCCGUAGUCC
RNAcentral lists this ribosomal RNA (426 nucleotides) under uncultured prokaryote. RNAcentral describes it as "bacterial SSU rRNA". It matches the Rfam family "Bacterial small subunit ribosomal RNA", at positions 355 to 796 of the family's 1533-position model. The record is from RNAcentral.